UACGUAGGGCGCAAGCGUUGUCCGGAAUCAUUGGGCGUAAAGAGCUCGUAGGUGGUCUGUUACGUCUGCUGUGAAAUCCUAGGGCUUAACCCUGGGCCUGCAGUGGAUACGGGCAGACUAGAGGUAGGUAGGGGAGAAUGGAAUUCCCGGUGUAGCGGUGAAAUGCGCAGAUAUCGGGAGGAACACCGGUGGCGAAGGCGACUCUUUGGCCUGUAACUGACACUGAGGCGCGAAAACGUGGGGAGCAAACAGG
RNAcentral lists this ribosomal RNA (253 nucleotides) under uncultured bacterium. RNAcentral describes it as "partial 16S ribosomal RNA". It matches the Rfam family "Bacterial small subunit ribosomal RNA", at positions 524 to 776 of the family's 1533-position model. The record is from RNAcentral.